GACGAACGCUGGCGGCGUGCCUAAUACAUGCAAGUAGAACGCUGAAGGAGGAGCUUGCUUCUCUGGAUGAGUUGCGAACGGGUGAGUAACGCGUAGGUAACCUGCCUGGUAGCGGGGGAUAACUAUUGGAAACGAUAGCUAAUACCGCAUAAGAGUAGAUGUCGCAUGACAUUUGCUUAAAAGGUGCAAUUGCAUCACUACCAGAUGGACCUGCGUUGUAUUAGCUAGUUGGUGAGGUAACGGCUCACCAAGGCAACGAUACAUAGCCGACCUGCGAGGGUGAUCGGCCACACUGGGACUGAGACACGGCCCAGACUCCUACGGGAGGCAGCAGUAGGGAAUCUUCGGCAAUGGACGGAAGUCUGACCGAGCAACGCCGCGUGAGUGAAGAAGGUUUUCGGAUCGGAAAGCUCUGUUGUAAGAGAAGAACGAGUGUGAGAGUGGAAAGUUCACACUGUGACGGUAUCUUACCAGAAAGGGACGGCUAACUACGUG
This 495-nucleotide ribosomal RNA is filed under the name uncultured bacterium. RNAcentral describes it as "partial 16S ribosomal RNA". It matches the Rfam family "Bacterial small subunit ribosomal RNA", at positions 28 to 507 of the family's 1533-position model. The record is from RNAcentral.